AGCUGCCGUGAUCCCGGCCCCGCCUGGGUACCGGCCCCUCCCGUGGCCACCGGCGGGCUGGGAGCAGUAGCCACGCAGCUCAGGCAGCGUCUGCAGCCACGCUUGGCAGGAGAGCCAGAGAGAAACCUCAUCCCUGAGCGAAACUGCGGAGUUUCUGCUGAGUCACAGCCAUCAGGGAAUGGGGAGAGCAAUUACAGCCGAAAACUGGGAAGGCAUCCCAAACAAAUUGGUUAUAAUUAACAAGUAGAAGAAUAACACCAGUAAUACCAUUAGCAGGCCCAAAAGCCAUUUGCAAUAUAAUAUCUGUAAUUAGACAGCGCUCAGCAGCAGCCGGGGCUGAGCUGUUUGCCCCGGGAGGGGAGGGCAGGUGAGCCCGAGGCAUCGGGGCUGGGAUCCGGGGGUGGCGGGCACGGGACAGCACCCGGGAACAUCCAGGAACAUCCAGGAGUACCCAGGAGCACUCGGGAACACCCAGGAAUAUCCGGGAACAUCCAGAAACACCCAGGAACACCCGGGAACACCAGGGAGCACCCAGGAACAUCCAGGAGCACCCAGGAACAUCCAGGAACACCCAGGAGUAUCCAGGAACAUCCAGGAACACCUGGGAACAUCCAGGAAUAUCCAGGAGCACCCGGGAACAUCCAGGAACAUCCAGGAACACCUGGGAACACCCAGGAGUAUCCAGAAACAUCCAGGAGCACUCAGGAACAUCCAGAAACACCCAGGAAGACCUGGGAACACCAGGGAGCACUCAGGAAUAUCCAGAAACACCCAGGAACAUCCAGGAGCACUUGGGAACACCCAGGAGCGCCCAGGAACACUUGGGAACACCCAGGAGCAUCCAGAAACAUCCAGGAGUAUCCAGCAACACCCAGGAACACCCAGGAGCGCCCGGGAACAUCCAGGAGCACUCGGGAAUAUCCAGGAAUAUCCAGGAAUACCCGGGAACAUCCAGAAACACCUGGGAACACCCGGGAGCACUCAGGAAUAUCCAGGAACAUCCAGGAACACCUGGGAACAUCCAGGAGCACCCAGGAACAUCCAGGAGCGCCCAGGAACACUUGGGAACAUCCAGGAACACCCAGGAGUAUCCAGGAGCACUCGGGAACAUCCAGGAGCACCCAGGAACACCCAGGAGCACCCAGGAACACCCAGGAGAACCCAGGACCAUCCAUAAGCAUCCCAGAGUGACCUGGCUCCAGCCACGGGGCAGGAGGGGGAUGUCCAUGGGAUUGAAUGUCCUGGGCCAUUCCCACCCCUGGCAGUGUCCAAGGCCAGGUUUCCCUGCCCAUGGCAGAGGUGCCACUGCAUCAGCUGGGAGCUCCCUUCCAGCCCAACCUGGAGCUGCUGGGGCUGGACCCAACCCAGGAUCCUCCUUCCCGCUGUCCCUUAGGCCCGGCCAGAACAAUUCCAGCUCUUUGGAGCCGUCUCUGCUGCCGGGAGGCUCCGGGGGGCUCCCCCUGUCCCCAGCGCCCGCAGCCCCAGCCCAGGGGGACACGCGGUGGGGCUCCCGGAGCCGCCGGGAAACCUCACCGGGCCCGGAAGGGUCUGGAGGGGACGGCAAAGGUCUCAUCCAGCCCCUGCACCCUGCAGGGACAUCUGCG
RNAcentral lists this long non-coding RNA (1604 nucleotides) under Cyanistes caeruleus (blue tit). RNAcentral's name for it is "lncRNA (ENSCCEG00000002027.1)". Lineage: Eukaryota; Metazoa; Chordata; Aves; Passeriformes; Paridae. The record is from RNAcentral.